This 180-nucleotide ribosomal RNA is filed under the name Clostridioides difficile. Its description in RNAcentral is "partial 23S ribosomal RNA". It matches the Rfam family "Bacterial large subunit ribosomal RNA", at positions 2740 to 2925 of the family's 2925-position model. Lineage: Bacteria; Bacillati; Bacillota; Clostridia; Peptostreptococcales; Peptostreptococcaceae. The record is from RNAcentral.
GCUGGGUAGCUAUGUACGGACGGGAUAAACGCUGAAAGCAUCUAAGCGUGAAGCCCCCCUCAAGAUGAGAUUUCCCAGUAUGUAAGACCCCUUGAAGACGACGAGGUAGAUAGGCUGGGGGUGGAAGUGCAGCAAUGCAUGGAGCUGACCAGUACUAAUCGGUCGAGGGCUUAUCCAAUA